This 1971-nucleotide long non-coding RNA is filed under the name Lactuca sativa (garden lettuce). Its description in RNAcentral is "long non-coding RNA (LSAT_LNC008175)". Lineage: Eukaryota; Viridiplantae; Streptophyta; Magnoliopsida; Asterales; Asteraceae. The record is from RNAcentral.
CAAAAAUACCCUUUUAUUUAUUUUUUUUCAUAAAUGGUCCUUUCUUUCUCUCUCUCUCUCUCUCUCUCUCAAGAAACGACUAAUCCGUCUGAAACCCUAGAUUUUCUUAACUUCACCCCCAUUGAAACACACCACCUUUAUAUUGUCACUACUAGAAUCAACUCGUACACAUCACCAACAAUGAUUAGAGUAAAAUGCAAAUCCAGUAAUCGAAUAUGGUGAUUGUUUCAUAGAUCCGACUGAAGUGCGGUGGAUCUUCCUGUGCUUCUCCUCCGACAAACCACUGCCACCACCUUACUCUUCUUCAGAAAGACAGUCGCCAAAUAGGUAGAUCGGAAGUCGGGUCUAUGAUUCCAUCAUCGUUCGCCACCUCCAUCCGUCACUGCCAGGAAAACCUAACCCUCAUAAAUGAAAACCCUAGCCCUCAUAAAUGUAAAUCAGAACCAUCGAUGAAUGAAGAAGGUUGGGUCCGAUGAAUCAGAGAAAAAAAUGGAGGAAUCGAUUUUCACAUCUUUUACUCUACCUCUUUCUGAAACUAAAAUCAAAGCCAACACCCGCCUCCCAUCCCUCAUUUCCACUUCUCCCAUUACUCUAGAGUCGACAUAGACUAAAUCGAUGUCCCCAUUGAAGAACUUCAAGUGAGAGAUUUUUAGAAGAUUUUGUUGUUAUUGUUGCAGGUUGGUUCUUGAGAGAUUGACGGUGGGUGAAUCUUGACAAAUUCAAAAAUCGAUUUUCGUCCCUUGGAACAGAGAGAUACGGAGAAGACUAACAGUCGUUUCCACCGAUUGAAAUAGAGUUGUAGUGUAUGCGAUGAGUAGAUUUUGUCCAGAAAGAUGUGUGGAUCUGGUAGUGUGAAGAGGUUAUAAAUGCGAUGAAUGGGUAAAUGAAGUAGAGGGUUCAAUGAUGUGGUUGGAUUUAAAUCCAUUGUGUUCAAUCUCCGACAAGGAAAGAAGCAUCCGGUCAACCACUUUUGAGUUCUCCGGUCACAUAGAGAGAGAAGCACUGGAAGAAGAUAAUGGAGAGAGAGAGAGAGAGAGAGAGAGAGAGAGAGAGAGAGAGAGAGAGGAGAGAGGGANGACAGUCGCCAAAUAGGUAGAUCGGAAGUCGGGUCUAUGAUUCCAUCAUCGUUCGCCACCUCCAUCCGUCACUGCCAGGAAAACCUAACCCUCAUAAAUGAAAACCCUAGCCCUCAUAAAUGUAAAUCAGAACCAUCGAUGAAUGAAGAAGGUUGGGUCCGAUGAAUCAGAGAAAAAAAUGGAGGAAUCGAUUUUCACAUCUUUUACUCUACCUCUUUCUGAAACUAAAAUCAAAGCCAACACCCGCCUCCCAUCCCUCAUUUCCACUUCUCCCAUUACUCUAGAGUCGACAUAGACUAAAUCGAUGUCCCCAUUGAAGAACUUCAAGUGAGAGAUUUUUAGAAGAUUUUGUUGUUAUUGUUGCAGGUUGGUUCUUGAGAGAUUGACGGUGGGUGAAUCUUGACAAAUUCAAAAAUCGAUUUUCGUCCCUUGGAACAGAGAGAUACGGAGAAGACUAACAGUCGUUUCCACCGAUUGAAAUAGAGUUGUAGUGUAUGCGAUGAGUAGAUUUUGUCCAGAAAGAUGUGUGGAUCUGGUAGUGUGAAGAGGUUAUAAAUGCGAUGAAUGGGUAAAUGAAGUAGAGGGUUCAAUGAUGUGGUUGGAUUUAAAUCCAUUGUGUUCAAUCUCCGACAAGGAAAGAAGCAUCCGGUCAACCACUUUUGAGUUCUCCGGUCACAUAGAGAGAGAAGCAGUGGAAGAAGAUAAUGGAGAGAGAGAGAGAGAGAGAGAGAGAGAGAGAGAGAGAGAGAGAGAGAGAGAGAGGGAGACUCACUUUUUUUUAAUUUCUAAUUAACAAAAUGUUAAAAAUAAAUAAAAAUAAAGGACAUUUUUAUCUUUUCACAUACACUUAACAAAUAUGUUAAGAAAGUUAAUCAUAAGGAUCAUUUGUGUGCAA